UGCUACAGUCAUAUCACCCUGCAGCCCAAGACUGGUUGCUCACUGAAGCUAAGCAAGCUUGAGCCCGGUCAGUAUCUGGAUGGGAGACCACAUUAAAAAACAAGGUUGCUGUUGGUA
This is a ribosomal RNA of Danio rerio (zebrafish), 117 nucleotides long. NCBI's taxonomy places the organism in Eukaryota, Metazoa, Chordata, Actinopteri, Cypriniformes, Danionidae. The record is from Ensembl.